This 421-nucleotide unclassified non-coding RNA is filed under the name Hevea brasiliensis (rubber tree). Lineage: Eukaryota; Viridiplantae; Streptophyta; Magnoliopsida; Malpighiales; Euphorbiaceae. The record is from RNAcentral.
GAAUUUUUCGCACUAUGUAACACAUUGUAAACAAGUUCAUGAUCAAAUGAAGGAACAAUAUUUCUAAUGGAAUUCUGUAAACGUGUAGUCCAGGCACGAGUAGACAUCAUUCUGCAAAUGAGAUCUUCUAGUUUUUCUUGGGGUUUAGGACUGUUACCUUUUGGAAUUCGUUCAUGAUUGUUGAGAGAUUCGGUGUUGUAGAAGAAGAUUGUUGAUCUUAGGCAUAAUGGUGUAGCCGAAAUUGUGAGGAGCUUCUUCGGUUUGAAAAUGGCUGAUCUUGAUGCACACAAAGAAGCCAUUUUUUAUCCAAUUUGGAGUUUGUGCGAUCUGUAAAAUGGAGGAGAAAUUAAACUUUGGGUAUCAUAUAGAGAGGCUGCAGGGUUUAGGGUUUUCGAAUUCUUCCAAGCUUUUUUUCUUUUCU